This 460-nucleotide ribosomal RNA is filed under the name uncultured bacterium. RNAcentral describes it as "partial 16S ribosomal RNA". It matches the Rfam family "Bacterial small subunit ribosomal RNA", at positions 338 to 795 of the family's 1533-position model. The record is from RNAcentral.
CCUACGGGAGGCAGCAGUGAGGAAUAUUGGUCAAUGGACGAGAGUCUGAACCAGCCAAGUAGCGUGAAGGAUGACUGCCCUAUGGGUUUUAAACUUCUUUUAUAAAGGAAUAAAGCGAGGCACGUGUGCCUUUUUGUAUGUACUUUAUAAAAUAAUAUCGGCUAAACACGUUCCAGCAGCCGCGCUAAUACGGAGGGUCCGAGCGUUAUCCGGAUUUAUUUGGUUUAACGGGAGCGUAGAUGGGUUUUUAAGGCAGUUGUGAAAGUGUGCGGCUCAAACGUAAAAUUGCAAUUGAUACUGGCAGUCUUGAGUACAGUUGAGGUAUGCGGAAUUCGUGGUGUAGCGGUGAAAUGCUUAGAUAUCACGAAGAACCCCGAUUGCGAAGGCAGCUUACUAAACUGUGACUGACAUUGAUGCUCGAAAGUGUGGGUAUCAAACAGGAUUAGAUACCCCAGUAGUC